This 74-nucleotide transfer RNA is filed under the name Lactifluus hygrophoroides. RNAcentral describes it as "tRNA-Arg". It matches the Rfam family "tRNA". From Rfam's summary of the family: Transfer RNA (tRNA) molecules are approximately 80 nucleotides in length. Their secondary structure includes four short double-helical elements and three loops (D, anti-codon, and T loops). Lineage: Eukaryota; Fungi; Basidiomycota; Agaricomycetes; Russulales; Russulaceae. The record is from RNAcentral.
ACAUCUUUAGCUGAAUUGGAAAAGCAUUUUGCCUUCGAAGCAACUGUAUAUUGGUUCAAAUCCAAUAAGAUGUA